Chenopodium quinoa (quinoa) is the source of this 609-nucleotide long non-coding RNA. RefSeq lists it as uncharacterized. Lineage: Eukaryota; Viridiplantae; Streptophyta; Magnoliopsida; Caryophyllales; Amaranthaceae. The transcript is spliced from 3 exons. The record is from RefSeq and is a predicted model, not a curated record.
GUAAAGAGAAGAAGUUCCACGAAGCUAUUGGUGCUAAAUUUAGGAAGCACAAGUCUUGGUUAGUUUCACGAUUCAUUACUAAGGAAAGUGCACCUCCGCCUGACUCACCUAGUGCAAACAUUAAGCCCCGGGAGCUUUAUGAAGGUUACAUCAGAGAAGAGCAAUGGAAAAAGUUUGAGACAUAUUGCAUACAGAUGAAUUUAAGGCUCUGAGUGAAAAAGGAAAGGAAAAUGCAAAGAAUAAUAAGCAUCGCCACCAUCUAGGAUCCAAGAUUUAUGAGAGGGCUCAAGUUGAUUGGAGUAAGACCAAUAUAAUUCCAGCAGAAUCUUCAACCUCAAGCACCACAGAGUCCACGACAAGCUGUGUAAUGAGUGAAAAGCUUAAAAAUCGGUCUCUUUAUUGGAUUUUGGCCCGUCAAACUCGUAAUGCAGAUGGAUCGUGGGCUAUAGACCCGAAGAAUGCCGAAACCCAGCAAAUAGCCAAUGCUAUUUUGAUCUCGCCAAAGCGAAGAAGGGGACGAUAGUUGUGGUGUGAAAUCAAGGCAAUCUACCAUCAAACCCACAAAAUUCCUACCACUUGAAGAUAAAAUUGUCGAUACUUUUGGCGAGG